Molecule: ribosomal RNA, 449 nt
Filed under: uncultured bacterium
Lineage: Bacteria
Description: partial 16S ribosomal RNA
Rfam family: Bacterial small subunit ribosomal RNA
Source: RNAcentral
AGCCAGACUCCUACGGGAGGCAGCAGUGGGGGAUAUUGCACAGUGGGGGGAACCCUGAUGCAGCGACGCCGCGUGGGUGAAGGAGUAUUUCGGUAUGUAAAGCCCUAUCGGCAGGGAAGAAGCAAGACGGUACCUGACUAAGAAGCCCCGGCUAACUACGUGCCAGCAGCCGCGGUAAUACGUAGGGGGCGAGCGUUAUCCGGAUUCACUGGGUGUAAAGGGAGCGUAGACGGCCAAGCAAGCCAGGGGUGAAAGCCCGGGGCCCAACCCCGGGACUGCCCUUGGAACUGCGUGGCUAGAGUGCAGGAGGGGCAGGCGGAAUUCCUGGUGUAGCGGUGAAAUGCGUAGAUAUCAGGAGGAACACCGGUGGCGAAGGCGGCCUGCUGGACUGCAACUGACGUUGAGGCCCGAAAGCGUGGGGAGCAAACAGGAUUAGAUACCCGGGUAUC